RNAcentral lists this transfer RNA (74 nucleotides) under Sphaerodactylus townsendi. Its description in RNAcentral is "tRNA-Ala". Lineage: Eukaryota; Metazoa; Chordata; Lepidosauria; Squamata; Sphaerodactylidae. The record is from RNAcentral.
GGAGGAGUGUAUCUCAUCGGUAGAAUAUCUGCUUAGCAUGCAGAAUGUCCCCGGUUCAAUCCUUGGCAUCUCCA